Triticum aestivum (bread wheat) is the source of this 115-nucleotide non-coding RNA. The record is from Rfam. NCBI's taxonomy places the organism in Eukaryota, Viridiplantae, Streptophyta, Magnoliopsida, Poales, Poaceae.
CUAUUACUCCCUCCGUUCCAAAUUACUCGUCGCAGAAAUUGAUGUAUCUAGAACUAAAAUAUAUCUAGAUACAUCCAUACCUGCGACAAGUAAUUUGGAACGGAGGGAGUAGCUU